GACUGUGGCCCUGAAGAGAGGAAGGGCCUCCUGGGGCUGGACCACCCCCUGGUGGGCUCAAGAAGACAGAGGGGGCCUUGGACUGGGGACAGCCAGCAAGCCUGGUAUGCCCCUGCUGGGACUGCCCUGCUGAGUCUAUUGUUAGGGUGCCCUUUGUUUGCCUGACCACGGGAGGCCUGCAGGACAGGAUGGUCUGGGGACAACCUCAGAACAGGAGGUCUGGGCUCCUUCUCUGCUUCCUUCCUUGGAGUUUCUUGUGUGAGAGAGGAAAGGGCUGCCCAGGCCGCACCACAGGAAUCGUGAGACCAUAACUGGGGCUGUUUUAAGCCUGCAGGGGUGUGGAAGUUGUGGUGCAGGGACAGAACCCAGACCAGCCUCUGGGAGAGAGGAUGGGGAGCUCCCUGGGCCCUCUCCUGUCCCUACAGUUCACAGCCCAUGCACCAGAACUGGUCACAGGGCACAGGCACAACCCCCUGCAGGGAUCAGGGGCCCCGGGGAGUGCACAGGCCCUUGGGGAGGACCAAGGCCUCCUCUGCUGCCAUUGGGAUGGCACAGGUUCUGAAGGGCAGGUGUAGCCCCUGCAGGGUACAAGCAGAGGGUGACAUCCUCUGACACAGGCUGGGGAGGGACCCCAGGCAGUUGUGUGGGGAGUGCAGGGCCUGGAUGCAGGCAGCAGCCUGGGGUGUGUCCUGCAAGACCACAAGGAGAGGCCAUGGGUGCGGAAGAGGAUCCCAGGGUGAAUCUCAGGAAAGCAGCACUGGGACACGUCUGCCGCUAAGGUUAUUCUAAAGGCAGAAGCACAGGGACUUCCUGAAAGGCUGCGUAGAAGCGAGAGGCUUGGGCUCGGCUGCCUGGAAGAAGGGAGGCGCCCUGUUCUUGGAGGCCAGAGGAUGAGAGCGAGGCAGGCUAAGGAAGAAAUCAUGGCCCAGCCUGGGCCUGGGGCAGGGGCCUGGCUGGGGAAACUCCUGGCUCAGGAGCAGAGCACGGGAGGAGAAGCACAGCUGGCCCCUGCUCUCCAGGCCUCUGGGAGGUUGGGAAGUGCAUGAAAGCACCUCUGAGUCUUGGGUUCUCCAUCUGCACAGUGGGCAGGAUGAUGACGGGCCCUUCUUCCCUAGAAGGAACUUUUUAGGCACAAAUGAGGAAAUAACAUGGAAAGACUUGGAGGCUUCGCCCACAUAAGGCAGGAGAUCACUCCAAGGAAAUGGACCUCCCUGAUGGUGGCUUCCCCCGUUCCCUGUAACUGCCUGUGACUGAUGAGCCAUCAGCAGGGAUGGGAGGGAUGGAGCCUCGGACAUCAUUUACUCACUUCUGCUUGUUAAAUAACUCAGGACCUGGGGCCGCUUCUCAGGGCUGGGGCUGAGUCUCCGUGCCCACCGU
Homo sapiens (human) is the source of this 1377-nucleotide long non-coding RNA. The record is from Ensembl. Lineage: Eukaryota; Metazoa; Chordata; Mammalia; Primates; Hominidae.